Molecule: ribosomal RNA, 468 nt
Filed under: uncultured bacterium
Lineage: Bacteria
Description: partial 16S ribosomal RNA
Rfam family: Bacterial small subunit ribosomal RNA
Source: RNAcentral
GACGAACGCUGGCGGCGUGCUUAACACAUGCAAGUCGAACGGAAAGGCCCUGCUUUUGUUGGGUGCUCGUGUGGCGAACGUGUGUGUAACACGUGAGUAACCUGCCCUUUACUUUGUGAUAACUUCAGGAAACUGGGGCUAAUACCUGAUAUGUGCUCCUGCUGCAUGGUGGGGGUUGGAAAUUUUCGGGGGUUGGGGAUGGACUCGCGGGUUAUCAGAUUGUUGGUGGGGUAGUGGCUUACCAAGGGUUUGACGGGUAGGCGGCCUGAGAGGGGGACCGGCGACAAGGGGACUGAGAUAAGGAGCAGACGGCAACGGGAGGCAGCAGGGGGGAAUAUUGCACAAUGGGCGGAAGCGUGAGGCAGCAACGCCGCGUGCGGGAUGACGGCCUUCGGGUUGAAAACAGCUUUGGCCUGUGACGAAGCGUGAGUGACGGUAAUGGGUAAAGAAGCACCGGCUAACUACGUG